This 250-nucleotide ribosomal RNA is filed under the name uncultured Coprobacillus sp. RNAcentral describes it as "partial 16S ribosomal RNA". It matches the Rfam family "Bacterial small subunit ribosomal RNA", at positions 94 to 339 of the family's 1533-position model. The record is from RNAcentral. Lineage: Bacteria; Bacillati; Bacillota; Erysipelotrichia; Erysipelotrichales; Coprobacillaceae.
AGUGGCGAACGGGUGAGUAAUACAUAAGUAACCUGGCCUUUACAGGGGGAUAACUAUUGGAAACGAUAGCUAAGACCGCAUAGGUGUGAUAACCGCAUGGAGAUGACAUGAAAUAUGCUAUGGCAUAGGUAGAGGAUGGACUUAUGGCGCAUUAGCUAGUUGGAGGGGUAACGGCCCACCAAGGCGACGAUGCGUAGCCGACCUGAGAGGGUGACCGGCCACACUGGGACUGAGACACGGCCCAGACUCC